Molecule: ribosomal RNA, 1964 nt
Filed under: human gut metagenome
Description: bacterial LSU rRNA
Rfam family: Bacterial large subunit ribosomal RNA
Source: RNAcentral
GAAAGUAAUGAAGGGCGUACGGUGGAUGCCUAGGCUCUUACAGGCGAUGAAGGACGUGAUAAGCUGCGAAAAGCCGCGGUGAGGCGCAAAUGGCCCUUGACCCGCGGAUCUCCGAAUGGGACAACCCAAUAUCUUGAAGAGAUAUUAUCCCGCCGGUGCGGGAGGCGAACGCGGGGAACUGAAACAUCUUAGUACCCGCAGGAAAAGAAAAUAAAGAAUGAUUCCCCCAGUAGUGGCGAGCGACCGGGGAAGAGCCCAAACCGACGUUGUCUCGGCAUCGUCGGGGUUGUAGGACCGCGCCAUCGCAAGAAAGGCCGUGAGUGGAAGCGACUGGAAAGCCGCGCCAUAGAGGGUGACAGCCCCUUACACGAAGCAGCCUGAAGCGUAGCGGACUCCUGAGUAGCGCGGGACACGAGUAAUCCUGUGUGAAUCCGCCGGGCCCAUCCGGCAAGGCUAAAUACUCGUAAGAGACCGAUAGUGAACCAGUACCGUGAGGGAAAGGUGAAAAGGACCCCUUGCAGGGGAGUGAAACAGUUCCUGAAACCGUACGCCUACAAGCGGUCGGAGCAUCUUGAAUGAUGUGACGGCGUGCCUUUUGCAUAAUGAACCUACGAGUUGCCGUCACCAGCGAGGUUAAGUGCGACGACGCACCGAGCCGCAGCGGAAGCGAGUCUUAAAAGGGCGCGAUAGUUGGUGGAGGCAGACGCGAAACCGAGUGAUCUACACUUGUCCAGGAUGAAGUCCCGGUAACACGGGAUGGAGGUCCGCACCAAUAAGCGUUGAAAAGCUUCUGGAUGAGGUGAGUGUAGGAGUGAAAGGCCAAUCAAACUCGGAGAUAGCUCGUACUCCCCGAAAGGCAUUUAGGUGCCGCCUGUGGCGUUCCCGACGUGAGGUAGAGCGACUGAUAGGAUGCGAGGGCUUCACCGCCUAUCAAGUCCUGACAAACUCCGAAUGCACGUCGGCCAAGCCAUGGAGUAAGGGCAUGGGUGCUAAGGUCCGUGCCCGAGAGGAGAAGAAUCCAGACCACCGGCUAAGGUCCCGAAAUACUGGUUAAGUUAGACUAACGCAGUCCGGCCCCCAAGACAGCUAGGAUGUUGGCUUGGAAGCAGCCAUUCAUUCAAAGAGUGCGUAACAGCUCACUAGUCGAGGAGCUGGGCGUGGAUAAUAAUCGGGUAUAAAACCAGUUACCGAAGCCGUGGGAUGCUCAAGCAUCGGUAGGGGAGCAUUGCAUGCGGCUUGGAAGGCGGGGCGCGAGCCCCUCUGGAGCGCAUGGAAACGCAAAUGUAGGUAUAAGUAACGACAAGGGGGGUGGGAUGCCCCCCCGCCGAAAGACCAAGGUUUCCUGAACAACGCUAAUCGGUUCAGGGUCAGUCGGGUCCUAAGCAUAAGCCGUAUGGCGAUGGCGAUGGACGAAACGGUUAAUAUUCCGUUACUGUCUUGGUGUGUGACGCGGCGACGGAGUAGUGACACGGCCGCCUCCUGACGGAAAAGGGGGUUGAAGCGCAAAGGUGUCGAGGAAGGCAGGCAAAUCCACCUUCCGAGCCGAAGCGCGAUAGUACGCCGGGCCCUUUUGGGCAAGGCGAUAGUGCCGGUAAUCAGACUUCCAAGAAAACCCGCUAAACUUCAGCACCAAGUCACCCGUACUCCAAACGGACACACGUGGUCGGGUAGAAUAUACUAAGGCGCUUGGGAGAUUCACGGUUAAGGAACUAGGCAAAUUGACCCCGUACCUUCGGAAUAAGGGGUCCUCGCUUUAGCGAGGCGCAGAGAAUAGGUCCAGGCAACUGUUUAACAAAAACACAGGGCUGUGCCAAUUUGAAAGAAGAAGUAUACAGCCUGACACCUGCCCGGUGCCGGAAGGUUAAGAGGAGAGCUCAUCAGCGAUGAGAAGGCUUGAAUUGAAGCCCCGGUAAACGGCGGCCGUAACUAUAACGGUCCUAAGGUAGCGAAAUUCCUUGUCGGGU